UGGCGGCGCGCCUAAUACAUGCAAGUCGAGCGAGAAGACGUAGCAAUACGUUUGUAAAGCGGCGAACGGGUGAGGAAUACAUGGGUAACCUACCCUUGAGUGGGGAAUAACUAGCCGAAAGGUUAGCUAAUACCGCGUACGCUCCUUGGACUUCGGUUCGGGGAGGAAAGCGCUACCGUGGGUAGCGCGCUCUUGGAUGGGCUCAUGUCCUAUCAGCUUGUUGGUGAGGUAACGGCUCACCAAGGCUUCGACGGGUAGCUGGUCUGAGAGGACGAUCAGCCACACUGGCACUGCGACACGGGCCAGACUCCUACGGGAGGCAGCAGUAAGGAAUAUUGCGCAAUGGGCGAAAGCCUGACGCAGCGACGCCGCGUGGGGGAUGAAGGUCUUCGGAUUGUAAACCCCUUUCGGGAGGGAAGAUGGAAUGGGGUAACCCAUUCGGACGGUACCUCCAGAAGCAGCCACGGCUAACUUCGUGCCAGCAGCCGCGGUAAUACGAAGGUGGCAAGCGUUAUUCGGAUUUACUGGGCGUACAGGGAGCGUAGGCGGUUCGGUAAGCCCUUUGUGAAAUCUUCAGGCUUAACCUGGAACAGUCGGAGGGGACUGCCGGGCUAGAGGACGGGAGAGGAGCGCGGAAUUCCCGGUGUAGCGGUGA
Molecule: ribosomal RNA, 655 nt
Filed under: uncultured bacterium
Lineage: Bacteria
Description: bacterial SSU rRNA
Rfam family: Bacterial small subunit ribosomal RNA
Source: RNAcentral